GACGAGCGCUGGCGGCGCGCCUAACACAUGCAAGUCGAACGAGCGAGAGAGAGCUUGCUUUCUCGAGCGAGUGGCGAACGGGUGAGUAACGCGUGAGGAACCUGCCUCAAAGAGGGGGACAACAGUUGGAAACGACUGCUAAUACCGCAUAAGCCCACGGGUCGGCAUCGACCAGAGGGAAAAGGAGCAAUCCGCUUUGAGAUGGCCUCGCGUCCGAUUAGCUAGUUGGUGAGGUAACGGCCCACCAAGGCGACGAUCGGUAGCCGGACUGAGAGUUGAACGGCCACAUUUGGGACUGAGACACGGCCCAGACUCCUACGGGAGGCAGCAGUGGGGAAUAUUGCACAAUGGGGGGAAACCCUGAUGCAGCGACGCCGCGUGGAGGAAGAAGGUCUUCGGAUUGUAAACUCCUGUUGUU
Molecule: ribosomal RNA, 418 nt
Filed under: uncultured bacterium
Lineage: Bacteria
Description: bacterial SSU rRNA
Rfam family: Bacterial small subunit ribosomal RNA
Source: RNAcentral